This 253-nucleotide ribosomal RNA is filed under the name uncultured bacterium. RNAcentral describes it as "partial 16S ribosomal RNA". It matches the Rfam family "Bacterial small subunit ribosomal RNA", at positions 524 to 776 of the family's 1533-position model. The record is from RNAcentral.
GACAGAGGGUGCAAACGUUGCUCGGAAUUACUGGGCGUAAAGCGCGUGUAGGCUGACCGGAAAGUCGGGCGUGAAAGCCCUGGGCUCAACCCAGGAAGUGCAUCCGAAACUGUGGAGCUUGAAUGCCGGAGGGGCCCAGAGAAUUCCCGGUGUAGAGGUGAAAUUCGUAGAUAUCGGGAGGAAUACCAGUGGCGAAGGCGCUGGGCUGGACGGUCAUUGACGCUGAGGUGCGAAAGCGUGGGGAGCAAACAGG